This 468-nucleotide ribosomal RNA is filed under the name uncultured bacterium. RNAcentral's name for it is "partial 16S ribosomal RNA". It matches the Rfam family "Bacterial small subunit ribosomal RNA", at positions 28 to 507 of the family's 1533-position model. The record is from RNAcentral.
GACGAACGCUGGCGGCGUGCUUAACACAUGCAAGUCGAACGGAAAGGCCCUGCUUUUGUGGGGUGCUCGAGUGGCGAACGGGUGAGUAACACGUGAGUAACCUGCCCUUGACUUUGGGAUAACUUCAGGAAACUGGGGCUAAUACCGGAUAGGAGCUCCUGCUGCAUGGUGGGGGUUGGAAAGUUUCGGCGGUUGGGGAUGGACUCGCGGCUUAUCAGCUUGUUGGUGGGGUAGUGGCUUACCAAGGCUUUGACGGGUAGCCGGCCUGAGAGGGUGACCGGCGACAUUGGGACUGAGAUACGGCCCAGACUCCUACGGGAGGCAGCAGUGGGGAAUAUUGCACAAUGGGCGGAAGCCUGAUGCAGCAACGCGGCGUGCGGGAUGACGGCCUUCGGGUUGUAAACCGCUUUCGCCUGUGACGAAGCGUGAGUGACGGUAAUGGGUAAAGAAGCACCGGCUAACUACGUG